GCCGCGGUGGUGGAAUUGGUAGACACGCGAGACUCAAAAUUUCGUGUCCUCACGGACGUGCCGGUUCGAUUCCGGCCCGCGGUACCA
This 87-nucleotide transfer RNA is filed under the name Candidatus Saccharimonadota bacterium. RNAcentral's name for it is "tRNA-Leu". It matches the Rfam family "tRNA". Rfam says of the family: Transfer RNA (tRNA) molecules are approximately 80 nucleotides in length. Their secondary structure includes four short double-helical elements and three loops (D, anti-codon, and T loops). Further hydrogen bonds mediate the characteristic L-shaped molecular structure. tRNAs have two regions of fundamental functional importance: the anti-codon, which is responsible for specific mRNA codon recognition, and the 3' end, to which the tRNAs corresponding amino acid is attached (by aminoacyl-tRNA synthetases). tRNAs cope with the degeneracy of the genetic code in two manners: having more than one tRNA (with a specific anti-codon) for a particular amino acid; and 'wobble' base-pairing, i.e. permitting non-standard base-pairing at the 3rd anti-codon position. The record is from RNAcentral. Lineage: Bacteria; Candidatus Saccharimonadota.